Molecule: ribosomal RNA, 623 nt
Filed under: Bacillus paralicheniformis
Lineage: Bacteria; Bacillati; Bacillota; Bacilli; Caryophanales; Bacillaceae
Description: bacterial SSU rRNA
Rfam family: Bacterial small subunit ribosomal RNA
Source: RNAcentral
UGAAGUUUCGGAUCGUAAAACUCUGUGUUAGGGAAGAACAAGUACCGUCGAAUAGGGCGGUACCUUGACGGUACCUAACCAGAAAGCCACGGCUAACUACGUGCCAGCAGCCGCGGUAAUACGUAGGUGGCAAGCGUUGUCCGGAAUUAUUGGGCGUAAAGCGCGCGCAGGCGGUUUCUUAAGUCUGAUGUGAAAGCCCCCGGCUCAACCGGGGAGGGUCAUUGGAAACUGGGGAACUUGAGUGCAGAAGAGGAGAGUGGAAUUCCACGUGUAGCGGUGAAAUGCGUAGAGAUGUGGAGGAACACCAGUGGCGAAGGCGACUCUCUGGUCUGUAACUGACGCUGAGGCGCGAAAGCGUGGGGAGCGAACAGGAUUAGAUACCCUGGUAGUCCACGCCGUAAACGAUGAGUGCUAAGUGUUAGAGGGUUUCCGCCCUUUAGUGCUGCAGCAAACGCAUUAAGCACUCCGCCUGGGGAGUACGGUCGCAAGACUGAAACUCAAAGGAAUUGACGGGGGCCCGCACAAGCGGUGGAGCAUGUGGUUUAAUUCGAAGCAACGCGAAGAACCUUACCAGGUCUUGACAUCCUCUGACAACCCUAGAGAUAGGGCUUCCCCUUCGGGGG